AGCGAACGCUGGCGGCAGGCCUAACACAUGCAAGUCGAACGCUGUAGCAAUACAGAGUGGCAGACGGGUGAGUAACGCGUGGGAACGUGCCUUUCGGUUCGGAAUAACUCAGGGAAACUUGAGCUAAUACCGGAUACGCCCUUCGGGGGAAAGAUUUAUUGCCGAAAGAUCGGCCCGCGUCCGAUUAGCUAGUUGGUGUGGUAAUGGCGCACCAAGGCGACGAUCGGUAGCUGGUCUGAGAGGAUGAUCAGCCACACUGGGACUAGAGACACGGCCCAGACUCCUACGGGAGGCAGCAGUGGGGAAUAUUGGACAAUGGGCGCAAGCCUGAUCCAGCCAUGCCGCGUGAGUGAUGAAGGCCCUAGGGUUGUAAAGCUCUUUCGCCAGGGACGAUAAUGACGGUACCUGGAUAAGAAGCCCCGGCUAACUUCGUGCCAGCAGCCGCCGCAG
Molecule: ribosomal RNA, 450 nt
Filed under: uncultured bacterium
Lineage: Bacteria
Description: partial 16S ribosomal RNA
Rfam family: Bacterial small subunit ribosomal RNA
Source: RNAcentral